ACAGCAAGAAUUGGGGUGUUUUGCAACAGUGGCCCGGAUGAAAUUUUUCGUCACUGUGGAAGCAUAUACCAGCGACUUUCUUGGCUUGCAUUUCUGCUUGAGUGAGGCGCUUGAUUGGAAGAGAUGAUGAAGAUUGUGGGGAUGAAACAGAUCCAACAAUGGAAUCAAUUACCCCGGCAGUGAGCUUGUCUUCAAUUAAACGAGCUAAUCCGUACGUUUGAUGCAACGUGUGAGGAUGAUGGAUUGCUAGUUCGCUUUGAAUGUCCGGUUUAAGUCCGGAGAUGAAACAAUUCUUUAGUGUCUCGGGAGAUAAACCGAUGACCCGGUUAGCGAGUCGUUCAAACUCAGUUUGAUACAUGGCAACGGUGGUUUUCUGCUGGAGCUUGAAAAGAGUUGCCUGGUGAUUCUUGUAGGAAGAAGGACCAAAUCGGAGUUCCAAAGCUCUUGAAAAUUCCGGCCAAGUUCCGAGUAACCUGUUAUUCGAGAGAUACUUGUACCAACUUAAUGCGUCACCGGUGAAAUAGAAUACAGCUAAGUAAAGGCGUUGAACAUCCGGAACCGAGUAGUAGGUAAAGUAGUUAUUGGCUUGGAAGAGCCAAUCCAAUGGGUUCGAACCAUCAAACAUGGGAAGGGUAAUCUUCGGCGGUUUGGGGGUGUGGUUGGCAGGAGGUGGUGUCACGACGGGGCGGCAUGGCGGAAGGUGAAGACGAAGAAUGAAAGCACCAAUUGAUAGAACCGAGUUCGAGAUCGGUGGUCUCCAAAUUACGAACAAAGAACAAUUGUAAAACUAAAAUUGAAAGUA
RNAcentral lists this long non-coding RNA (802 nucleotides) under Helianthus annuus (common sunflower). RNAcentral's name for it is "sRNA HanXRQr2_Chr10g0451131". Lineage: Eukaryota; Viridiplantae; Streptophyta; Magnoliopsida; Asterales; Asteraceae. The record is from RNAcentral.